This is a long non-coding RNA of Pan paniscus (pygmy chimpanzee), 633 nucleotides long. The record is from Ensembl. Lineage: Eukaryota; Metazoa; Chordata; Mammalia; Primates; Hominidae.
GAAAGGGAUGUCUGGUUCCUUGUUUUGUUUGUGCAUGAGCUCUUUUCUAGGAAUUCUGUGGAAUUCCUAUUCUGUUAGAAGCCCAAGUUCAAAGCUAUGACACACAACAAGUUGAAUUCUUUACAUAUUUAAGAUCAAGUAUAACACCAUAUCUACACAAUUAUAUUGUUGAGUUGGGAUAUUUCAAUUCUCAGAAUGAUCUGAUAAAAUCAGCCUUGUGGUUUAGAUGUUUGAGGACCCAUUCUUUGAGAAGACAGCUGAAAACAUGUGUCACCAAGGAGAUGGUUGAUAGAGAUUCCAAAGAGGCUUCUAUGAUCUCAGAUGAAAGAGAAGAGACAGAAGAGAAGACAGAACAGCUCUUUGCUUCCUCAAGUAAAGUGACACAAGUUAGAAGUGGCAGACCAUUGGUGAGAACAUGAUCUAACCUAACUUCAAGAAAGUCUGGAAAAUACAGAGAUACAUGAAAUGUAUUUUAUAAUGGCUAGAGCUGGAAACACAUCAUGUAUCCAGAAGGAAAAGAGCGAGAAGAUUGCAGGAUCCUCAGACCUGGUAUUCCCAAACAGCUGAACCAGUAUCAGUACACCUCUGGAUUUCCCAUUACUUGAGAAAAAUAAACUCUUUCGUUUUAGCCAC